CAGCAGCCGCCGCGGUAACACGGAGGGCGCGAGCGUUACCCGGAUUUACUGGGCGUAAAGGGCGUGUAGGCGGCCUGGGGCGUCCCAUGUGAAAGGCCACGGCUCAACCGUGGAGGAGCGUGGGAUACGCUCAGGCUAGAGGGUGGGAGAGGGUGGUGGAAUUCCCGGAGUAGCGGUGAAAUGCGCAGAUACCGGGAGGAACGCCGAUGGCGAAGGCAGCCACCUGGUCCACUUCUGACGCUGAGGCGCGAAAGCGUGGGGAGCAAACCGGAUUAGAUACCCCCGUGUCCCUGUCUCUUAUACA
Molecule: ribosomal RNA, 304 nt
Filed under: uncultured bacterium
Lineage: Bacteria
Description: partial 16S ribosomal RNA
Rfam family: Bacterial small subunit ribosomal RNA
Source: RNAcentral